AUUGAACGCUGGCGGCAGGCCUAACACAUGCAAGUCGAACGGUAACAGGAAGCAGCUUGCUGCUUCGCUGACGAGUGGCGGACGGGUGAGUAAUGUCUGGGAAACUGCCUGAUGGAGGGGGAUAACUACUGGAAACGGUAGCUAAUACCGCAUAACGUCGCAAGACCAAAGAGGGGGACCUUCGGGCCUCUUGCCAUCGGAUGUGCCCAGAUGGGAUUAGCUAGUAGGUGGGGUAACGGCUCACCUAGGCGACGAUCCCUAGCUGGUCUGAGAGGAUGAC
Molecule: ribosomal RNA, 280 nt
Filed under: uncultured bacterium
Lineage: Bacteria
Description: partial 16S ribosomal RNA
Rfam family: Bacterial small subunit ribosomal RNA
Source: RNAcentral